Molecule: long non-coding RNA, 1210 nt
Organism: Felis catus (domestic cat)
Lineage: Eukaryota; Metazoa; Chordata; Mammalia; Carnivora; Felidae
Exons: 4
Source: RefSeq, a predicted model, not a curated record
UGGAUGGAAACUCCUUGUAGUGUUCUCCACAAGUUAUUCACCCAUCGUUCAACGUGUCACACACAGUGUUGUGAUGUUCUAAGUCUCCAUGCUCAUGUGUAACAAACAGAAUCGCUGGCCCUGGGGUUGUGCUUGUACUCCUGUCCCAUAUUAAUAGAUACUCCCCCCAAGUGUCAUCCGAAGGCAUUGUAUGAACUAACACUACUGCUUCUCUUCCCCGCAGGCACCUACACCCUCUGUCGCUGAUGAUGUAAGCUAGUGCCUCAUGAUGUUAAUUUCCAUUUUCCUGACGACCAAGUACAAAUUGACGGCCUGCCUUCAAGAGAAACAGCUAGCCUACUGGGGUUUCAUCAGAGCCUAACCAAUUUGGAGGAAAGAAAACACCCAACUCCAGCUCCCUCUGGCCGCCUUAUUCCAUGCAAACAGUCAGCAGAAGCUGGAAAGAUGUGAGUUUCUGCCUGCACAAAAUACGGGCGAGGAAAAUAUGAAACCACCUCCCGCCCUCAAGACCAAGAGAAGCUUCGUCUGCCUGAAGCCGGGAGGCUCCGCGCCCAGUGUGGAGCCCAGCGCGGGGCUUGAACCCCAGACCCUGAGAUCAAGACCCGAGCUGAGAUCAAGAGUCGGAUGCCAACCCAGGCGCCUCCGGGAUGACUCUCUUGAGGAAGCCCCCUGCUAUCAAGCCUCGCCUGUCCAAUAACUCAACAGGAAGUUACCCAAGUUGGGCAUAGAGCGCCAGGCGUGUGGGGGACGCCCCAGCGGGAACGUUUGACUGGAAAAGGAAGUGCGGGGCUGGGGGCCUGGCCACAGGGAGAAGUGCUGUCUGCUCUGUGGUCACGCCGUGGGCCAGAACAUUCAGGGCCACCCGUGGCACACGGCAAGUGCAGGCUGGCCGGGGCCGCGGGUGAGCGCAAAGGCCAGGGGGACCUUUUUAUGAUCCGUGAGACAGCUACCUUGGACCUGAAGGACAAAGCUCAUUUUUGUGGGUGAAAAUUUAGAAGCCGUGUCUGCUGAACUUGGCAGUUCAGGACCACUAAGAUAAUGCUUAGGAGGAGGAAGGAAGAGAGAAGGGAGCCGAGAAGGAGGGAGAUCGGGAGGCCGGAGCCGCUCCUCCACUGCUCGACUUUUGACAUGCUUCGUAUAAAUACUAGUUCAAUUCGUGUUUACUCUUUCUAAAGACUCAUUUGCUACACACUUCUCACACUGCUGUUCA